UCUAAAUGCUGAUCUGUGGCUGUGUGACAGCUCUGUCUUGGCUGCCCCGGAGCCUGCUGGGGUCUGCUCCUUGCCCUGUUGGGAGGUGGCAGCAUAAGUGCACAGCUAGGUGGGACCAGGGAGCACCUGCUGUCCUUUACCUCAGCUCUCAGAGGAAAAGAGUCUGAGCCAUAAACUGACAAACAUUGCUGGGACAUAGGACCACCUGCUGGAGUUGCUUUUCAGUGGAGGGGGUGCAGGAUGAGGAAGGCUAUCCAAGCAGCUAUUCGCCAAAUGCCGAGCUAACUCUGGGGCUUCUCAUCCCAGGCAAGGGUGGACUGAGUGGCUCUAGCCCAUCAGCUGUCAUGAAGAUUAUAUGAGAUAAUGCAUGUGGAGCAUCUGGUACAUGAUAAAUACUCAGUAGAUUGGCUCCUUCUUUUCUGUGGUCUUCCCUGGUAGCUUGAUUUUUAUGAAGCUGGUAGGAGCCCUGGGUGCAUGAGGAGAUUCACAGUUGGUGGAAAUCAGAUGAAGUUCUGCACAGCUUUGCUGAGAAAACUAAUUUCUGUUUCCUCUGGGUUACAUUCUUGUCACCCGCUUUACCACGAGCUGGUCAAACCGAGGCAGAGAGAAUCGAUUGGUUAGGAAUACAAGGCACAGGAAGGAUAAGAGAAUCACCAAAGAUCAUGUAGGUAAACUGAAGUAUCCCACUCUUUGUUCUGGAAGUCCUAUUUCCUGGGCCCUUGUACUUGGUUUUGUUUGGAUCUUCUUGAGCUGUAACAGCUAAACCUGCAGUUGCUGUGGGUAAGGUGGAGAAUAAAACACCCAAGUCCUGUCUUCAUGCAGCAGCAUAGUGAGCGGCUUCCCUUUUUACACAGGAGGGCCAGGGACUUCUCUGAUAAGUAGGAAAGCAUUGGAGUAUCACAAGCAAAGAACUGGCCUGAUCCAACUUCACAUUUCAAGAAAUUCACUGACUAGUCUGCAGAGAAGAUGCUGUGGGACCAGAAUUGUGGAGGCAAGGAGGCCAUUAGACAGCUCGUGUAACAAUCCAGUUGAGAGGCAGUGGUGGCCUGGGACAGGGUGAUGGUGGAGGUGAGGAGGUAAGGGCAAAAGGACUUUGGAUCAUGUUUAUAGUUACACAGGAGAGAAAGGGAAGAGUCAAUGAUGAGUCCCAGGUUUUCAGCUUGAGAAAUUGCAAGAACUGGCUGAAUGAAGUUGCCCUUCAUCUCCGAGUGAGGAAUAUUGUAGGAAGUGUGUUUGGUGUGUGUGUGUGUGUGUGUGUGUGUGUGUGUGUGUGUGUGCAUGUUUGUAUAUCACAGCAGAGAAUUGUAAAAUGAAAGUAAGAGAUGUAUUUUGUGUAUUUUAAAUUUGAGCUACCUCCGAGUAAGGAUUUUAAGCAAGUGGCUAGAUAUGAAUGUGACAUGUUUAGAAGAAAGGUUGGGGCUGGAGUUUUCAGUGUGUGAUCUUAAAAGGCCCGAGGCUAAAUGAGAUUACUUAGAUAGAUAGAUAAAUUCAUAAAAAAGGGGUCAGAGCACUGAACCCUGGAGCACUCCUACACACCAUUUAGAGCUUGGGGAAAGAGAGGGAAGCAGCAAAGAAGAGCAGUUGCUUAAAAGCAGUUUUGGUGGCUAUGUGGCAGCAGCUAUGUAAAUACUGGGUUUCUGUAUUAGAGAUCUGCUCCCAAAGUGGGGGGCCACCAGGGAAUAUUUAUGUUGUGUGUGGCCACUACUCAGGAUCACUGCCAAAAAAGACUCCUUUCUUAUCAUUGAGAAAUAUGCAGAAGAUUGUUCAGUUACUGCUAAGAUGGAAAAUUAGGUUGAAUUUAAUUAGUUUCAAUUAGGGAAAUUUGCUUAAAUGAAUAGAAAGCAAAGAGAUUGUAUAUAUUCCAUAAUAUAAGCAUACCUGUAAUAUAUGAUAGAAACAAGAAACUCUUGAUACUAUGGAUAUACAAAUCAUCAGCCUGUGCACUUAUAAACCCACACAGCAUGUGGUAUAUAAAUUCAGGUAUCAGAAUGCACGUUAACAAAGUCAUCUAUACAAUACAUGAAAAGAAAAUUUGGGCUUUGGAACUCUUUUUCUCUCUGAUUGCAAUUGGUGUUUAGUUUUUUAGGUAACCCCAGAGAAAGCUUGUUUAAUGCAUGAUGUAUCUCAGGUGUGGAUCUAAUUGUUCAGUUUUGAAUUUUCAACCAUGUGGUUAAAAGUUUUCUUCAGUUGCAUUUUUAGACAACAGCAACUGCCUCUCUGGUUGACAACAAACACCAGACGAAUUCUCACUUGGAGAGAAUCAAUCCAGCAUAACAGAGAGAAGCAGAGCCUGGAGACAGAGACAACUAAUGACAAGACUUGAGACCUAUCCAGCUACAUCCAGAGCCAACAUGCCCCAGGACUUCUAAGUUCAAGAGCCAGUCAAUGCCCCUCUUUUUUCUUAAACUAGUUUUAUUUGGGUUUCAGUCACUUGCAUCAGAAAGAGUCCUGACUAAUAUGACAGAGUAAUGAGAUGGUAUUAACUCUGAAUUUUAGAAGGACACCACAGUGGAUAGCAUGAGACCUCAAUUUAUCAUCUGACUUCAAAUUACAACCUGCAGGGUGUUUCUCCUUAAGCUUAUUGGUGGUAGAUAAUUCUUAUUCUUUGAUUCAAGGUAGUGUGGGAACAGACUGGUGUCUGCAUUUUCCCUUUGGAGCUUGUUAUUUUUCUCAUAACAGAUGAGUUAUUUGUAAGCAAAAAUUAAAGAUAAAAAUCAAUUCCCAUCAUCUUAAAAAAACGUGGGGAGUAUGCCCCUAGAGUUAGAUCUGCAGAGCGAUUCAUGUAUAGAGUGCUGCUGUGAAGCCAGCCCACCGAGCCCCCAUAACUCAGGAACUGAGAGUUUUAUGCUAAUUGAUUAGAAAGUUUUGCUACAGCAGCCAGGGUGAAAAUAGCAAAUCUCUAGGUAAUCUGGAAAAUUACUUAAUGAUAGCUAACUAGUAACAGCUAAUUGAUAAGUCAGCACACACUGUAGGUCUGUUAUUGUUUUGAGUGCUUCUUGCGUGUCACCACAAGUCUGAUCAAAUCUGGCUAUUGUCAUUGUUCCCAUUUUCCAGGUGAGAAAGAUUAAGCCAAGAGAGGUGCCCAGGCAGUCUGAUGCUAACAUGACAUGUUCUUCAUCAGGGCACUACACUGCUCUAGGCUAUUAGUCCAUUUACAGAAGCUCCCUUUGUUUAGCAGCAAGUCCCAGGUCUCCCUGACAAAGCAAGGUUUGGGGCAAGAGACAAAAUUACCUGGAUAAUAAGGAAGAAGGAAAAAAGUCAGUUUCUGUAUGAAAUAUAUUCUUCCAUUUGUUUCAGCGGUGGCAAAAUUUUCCUGGAGGUUUUAAAUAUUGUUCAGUGAAUGGUUAUCAGUAUUACUGGCAAAGAAUAAAGAGAAAUAAAAAUAAUGAUUUAAUCAUGUCUUUUUAUCUGGAAGGAAACACUUUAAAAUCAUAGUUCUCCACCGUGGAUAAUUUGGCAAUGUCUGGAGGCUUUUUGGCUGUCACAACUGGGAAGUACUACUGGAGUCAAGGGGGUAGAGUCCAGGGAUGCGCCCUGCACUACAGAGGACAGCUCGCCCCUCCAGUCCCAGAGGAAUUACCUGGUCCAAGUGACCACAGUGCCCAGGCUGAGAAACGCUACGUUAAACAUUAAAACAACAAGGAGUCACUGAGUAUAUUUUUCAUGAGCUAUGUGAACACACUUCUCCAAGCACAGAAGAAUUUGAAAAUAGGAGACAACAUAUUAUCUUGGCAAGUGCAGAACACAAAAAUAACUUUAAGGAAAUGACAUAACUUAUGUUGGACAUAUGAAUAGUGUGAUGAUCUGGAGUUUCUAAUUAGAAAGAAAAUGUAUCAGUUUAAGCAAAGCUCUUUGUGGUUUAGAGGGGACAGUUUUCAAAACUGCCAACUUAUGAUACAAUUAUUGAAAAAAAUCUAUUUUCUUAUGAUGAGACAGCUUAAAUUCAUCAGCAAUGACCGUAGCAGACUUUUCAUCAUUCUUUGAAUAUUUUUCAACAGUGAGGGCUUUAGUUACUCUAGUAAGACAUGACUUAAUUUAAAAAAGGGAAUUUUUAACUAAGUGGGA
Molecule: long non-coding RNA, 4065 nt
Organism: Manis pentadactyla (Chinese pangolin)
Lineage: Eukaryota; Metazoa; Chordata; Mammalia; Pholidota; Manidae
Exons: 9
Source: RefSeq, a predicted model, not a curated record